RNAcentral lists this long non-coding RNA (5321 nucleotides) under Sus scrofa (pig). RNAcentral describes it as "lncRNA (ENSSSCG00040056066.1)". The record is from RNAcentral. Lineage: Eukaryota; Metazoa; Chordata; Mammalia; Artiodactyla; Suidae.
CGUUCAAACCAGCUUUUGCUUUUAUUGAUUUUUUUCUGUUGUUCUUUUAAUACGUCUUAUUUAUUUUCUUUCUGAUCUUUGUUAUUUCUUUCCUUCUGCUGACUUUAGAUUUAUUUUCUUUUUCUAAUGCAAAUAAGCACUUGGAUUAUUUGAGAUUUUUUUCUUUUUUGAGGAAUGUCUGUCUUGCUAUGAACUUCCCUCUAAGCACAGUUUUUGUGGGGUUCCACAGGUUUUGUGUGGUGGUGUUUUCAUUGUUGUUUGUCUCAGGAUAUUUUUAAUUUCCUUUUUGAUUUCUUUGCUGACCCAUUGGGGUUUUAGUAGCAUGUUUAGUCUCCAGGUAGUUGGGUUUUCUCAUUUCUUUUCCUGUGGUUGAUUUCUAGUUUCAUGCCAUUGUGAAAAUGCUUGACAUAAUUCUGUGUUCUUAAAUUUGUUGAGGUUAGUUUUGUGCCCUUACUAGGUGAUCAAUCCUAAAGAAUGUUCCACGGGUACUUGAAAAGAAUGUAUAUUCUGGGUUUUUUGGAUAAUGUCCUGAAAAUAUCAAUUGGUCUGACUGUUCUCUUGUGUCAUUGAGGAUCUCUGCUGGCCUUUUUUUUUUCCCCCGCUUUUUAGGGCCACACCUGCAGCAUAUGGAAGCUCCCAGGCCAGGGGUCGAAUUGGAGCUGCGCUACAGCCACAGCAGCAGCAGAUCCAAGCCUCGUCCCCCCCUUUAAACUGCGCUCAUGGCAAUGCUGGAUCCUUAAUCCACUGAGCAGGUCCAGGGAUGGAACCCACAUCCUUGUGGAUACCGGUUGGGCUCGUUAGCACUGAGCCACAGUGGGAACUCCCUCUGUUGCCUUAUUGGUCUGUCUCGAGGAUCUGUCCAUUGAUGAGAGUGGGUGGUAAGGUGUCCUACUGUGAGUGUGUCCCCUCGGUUUCUCCCGCUGUGCCUGUUGGAUGUAUGUGGGUGCUGCUACGGUCGGAGCAUAGGUGUUGACGAGUGUGGUAUCUUCUCGUGAACCCAUCCUUUUAGCCUUAAGUGGUGUCCUUUAUCCUCCUCUAUGGCCUUGGCUUUAGGGAUGUUUUGUCUGACGUGAGUAUUGUGACGCCUGCUUUCCUGUCAUUUCCAUUCACGUGAAAUAGCUUUUUCCAUCUCCUCAUUUUCAGUGUACAUGUGUUCUUUGCCCUAAGGUGAGUCUCGUGCAGGCGGCGUAUUGUAGGCGCUUGUUUUUUAUCCAGUCUGCCACUGUGUCUUUUGAUCGGCACGUUCGGUCCGUUGACAUCUGAGGUUGUCAUUAUUACUAGUGUUGUUUCGGAGUAUAGUUGAUUUACAGGUUUACAGCGUUGCGUUAAUCUCAGAUGUACAGCAAGGUGAAUCAGUCGUGCGUUUGGGUCUGUCUGUUCCUUUUCAGAUUCUUUCCCUUCCAGGUUGUCACACAUCACUGCGCCAACUUCCCCGUGUCCUGCAGGAGGUCCUUCUACCCGUCGUUUCCACAGCGUGGUGCGUGUCCCCGUAGGCGUAUCAGUCCCGCGCCCCUCGUUUAUCCUUCCCCCAAAGGUAACCCGGUCAGUUCUGUUCCCUUUUUGUUCCUUUCUGUUUCUUUUUGUUUCUUAUGCUUGUAUCCUUUCCUCUUUGGUUUUUGUGAAUCUUUUGUUUGUUUGUGAUUUGCGAUUGCCCCGUUUUUCAAGUGUCGUAACCCCUUGCUGUAUCUGCUUGCUUUAGACCGAUAGUCGUGUAGGCUCAGACAUGUCCUAAAAAAAGAACCUACGUUUUUUUACUCUCCUUACCCCCAUUUUAUGGUUCUCGAUGUUCUUUCUGACAUUUUCGGGGCUAUCCUUUUGCUCUUCCUUGGGUUGCCAUCACUUUCACAAGUAGGGCUUUUUUUCCUCUUGGAUCUGCACUCUGGCUUAUUUGUGUGUGUCUGUGAGUCUCUUUCUGUUUUGUAGAUGGUUCAUUUGUGCCAUAUGUGAGAUUCCACAUAUAAGUGAUGUCACGGUAUUUCCUUCUUCUGACUGACUUAGCGAGAUCCUCUCUAGCUGCACCUGUGUGACUGUGAAUGGCGUUAUUUUGUUCUUUUUUAAGGCCACGUUGUAGUCCAUUGUAAAUAUGCACCACAUCUGCUUAAUCCAUCUGUUGGUGGGCAUUUUGGUUGUUUCCAUGUCCUGGCUAUUCGUCUGUUUUAACUGAUAGUCUGCGGGUAGAGUAUUCUAAGUUGCGUAUUUUUCCCUUUUAGAAGAAUCAUGCCAUUCCUUUCGGCCGCAGUGUUUCUGAAGAGGAAUUAGCUGAUAGCCUUAUGGGGGUUCCCUUAUAAUUAACUCUUUGUUUUUCUCUUGCUGCCUUUAUUUAAAAAAAAUUUUUUUUUGCCUUUUUCUUAUGGCUGCACCUGUGUCAUAUAGAAGUUCCCAGGCUAGGUGUGGAAUUGGAGCUGUAGCUGCCGGCCUACGUCACAGCCUCAGCAACGCGGAAUCUGAGCCACGUCUGCGGCCUGCACCCCAGCUCAUGGCAGCACCGGGUCUUUAGCCUACUGAGCAAGGCCAGGGCUCAAACCCGCAUCCUAAUGGGUACUAGUUGGGCCCGUUCCCACUGAGCCACGGCGGGCACUCCGCUUGCUGCCGUUGGAAUCUUGCCUUAUCUGUAAGUUCUGCUGUUUGUAUUAUAAGAUGCCUUGGUGGGGGUCUCUUUGGGACCCGUGCUUCCUGUAUCUGGGUGUCUGUUUCCGAAACCCUUUAGAUUUGGGACGUUUUCAGCCGUCAUUUCCUCAAAUGCGUCUUCAGCCCCCUUUUCUCUUCCUCAUCCUCUUCGGACCCCUGGUUCGCCUAGCCUGACGCGCUUCACGUGAGUCCGUGGAUGGCUGCGAUUUUUGCUCCUUUCUUCUUUCCCCUGUGGCUCCCCGCGUGCUGUCCUGCUUGGGUGGCCUUCCUUCCGUCCCCCUUCCGAGUCACGUGCUCGUGCCUCUGCGUGGCUCACCCUGCCGUCCAUUGUCCGCAGCUCAGCUCUUACCUUCGCGAGUGAACCUUCCCGUCUUACCCGUCCUCGUCGUUUCCAGCCGCUUUCCACAGUAGGCUGCGUUUCUGUCCGUGGGCGUUCUCACCUCCUCAGGGUUUUCAUGAGCUCCCCUCGAACCCGCUGUCUGCCGAGGGCGGCUGCAUUGUUCCUCCUUCGGGGAGGUCUGUCCCCGUCACUGGGAGCGGUUCUGGCGUUGCUUCAUUUCGCUCCUGUGUCUCCUGCUCUGUGAGUUUAGGGGCAGCAGCUGUCUCCUGGCAUCUUGGAGGGCUGUUUAUAUGCAAGGGCAUCCCUGGGUAGCUGGUGUGGGUUUCCUGGGUUUUGCUCUGAGGCUGCUUUUGCUCAGUGUGUGCAGGCCGUUGUCCCCCUGAUAGGGGGUGUGUGGGUGCUCGGCCCCCCUGUGCGUCGAGGGAGGUGGGGGCAGUGGGUGGUGCCUGCAGUGGUACCCGGUUGCGGGGCCCUUGGCCGUGGCUGUGACCCAUAGGAAGGUGGAGGGGGUGCCCAGUCAUGGGCCCUUGGCAGGUGCAGUGUGUGUGGGGGGGCAUGUGCCUUCCCAAGGGGUGGGGGCAAAGGCUGGGCCCUUGCGGGUAAGGGCGGCAGCAGCAGGCUGGGGGGCCCCUCCCCCAUGACCAUGUCUGGAUGUGCCCAUUCCCAGGGGUGGGGGCAGCAGGCAGGGGUGAGCCUCGCCCACCUCUGGAGUCCGGGAUGGCUAGGGUGGCUCGCACCCACCCCGACAGCCCAUGCAAGAGGGGCCCCGCCACCCGAGCCUGUGCGCAGAGAAAGAGGUUCUGUGGCAGUCCCGGCAGCAGCGCCUCCCUGGCAGCCCAGGCCUCCUGCACCCCCCAGCACCACUCCCCAGCCCCCUCAGGCUGUUCCCGUGCAGCCAGCCCGAGGCCUCUCCCCGGAACUCACCCCUAAAGCCCCAGCCCCUCUACCCGGCCCCCGCCCGAGUGCCCAGGCCGUGGUGCCCUGGGCGCUGGCACUGAUCUUUGUGCAGCUCUGUCUCUGCUUUGCCCUCUGGUCGACUGCUGUGCUCUUCUCUGAGGCUUUGAGGCUCCCCUCUGUCCCCGGGAUCCCCCAGUCAGGGGGCCCCCCAGGGCGCAGGUUCCUUUCCGCUUUCACAGCUCCCUCCCAGGAGUGCUCGUCCUGUCCUGAGUCCUUUUUUUCUCUCCUCUCUCCCUUUUUUUUGGUCCUGCCCAGUUAUGGGUCCAAUCGGAGCCGUAGCCACCGGCCUACGCCAGAGCCACAGCAACGCGGGAUCCGAGCCUCGUCUGCAUCCUACACCACAGCUCACGGCAAUGCUGGAACCUUGACCCACUGAGCAAGGCCAGGGAUCGAACCCGCAACCUCAUAGUUCCUAGUCGGAUUCGUCAACCACUGCGCCACGAUGGGAACUCCUAGGUUGGUUGGUUGGUUGGUUAUGUUUUUAACGUAUCUGGGGUGGGGGGUGAGCGCCACGUCCUGCGCUUCCACCCUCCUGACCACUUUCUGAGAUGACAUUCGCGUCACUAAUGCCCCCACUCCAAGUGUGUGAUUCGGCGGGUAUUUCUUCUUUCCCUGUAUUCACAGAUCUGUGCCGUCCUCACUGCAGACAUGGGGACACGUUCGUCACCCCACAGGAAGCCCCGGACUUAGUGUCCGUCACCCUGGCAGUCACGGAGCUGCUUUCUGUCUGUGUAUUUGCCUCCUCUGGACAUUUCACACCAGUGGAAUUACGCAAUGUGCGACCUUCCGUGUCAGGGUGCUUCCACUAAACAUGUUUUCAGGGCCUGUCCUUAUAGCAUUAUUUUAUUGUUUUUUGUCUUUCUGUCUUCUAGGGCCACUCCCGCGGCAUGUGGAGGUUCCCGGGCUAGGGGUCCCAUCGGAGCUGUGGCCGCCGGCCUCCACCGCAGCCCCAGCAGCCCAGGAUCCCAGCUGCGUCUGUGGCCCACAGCACAGCUCGCGGCAAUGCUGCAUCCUUAACCCCCUGAGCGAGGGCGGGGAUCGAACUCUCAACCUCAUGGUUCCAACCUCCUCGCCACCGCAGGAGCUCCGUUAUGGCAUUACUUUUGUAGCGUCCGUUUCUUUGCUGUCCUCCUUCGUUUUAUGACUUAAAAAGAUUGCGCCGUGUGGGCCUCCCGGUCUCACAAAUCGACGCACGCUCGGGUGGUGUCCCGCGGCUGGUCGUCCUGGUCCCACCGCUGCGGCCCGGGUUUCUCUGGGAGCCGGGAGGGGACUCUGCCGGGGCGAGUGGCGCCCUGCGAGUGCGCCCUGGGGGGCUGUUUGGAGAUGACAUCCUCAGCGGCCACCGCCUCCUUCGGUGCCGUCGGCAGGACUCGGGGGUCCGGGUUCCACAUCCUCA